CCUACGGGGGGCAGCAGUGAGGAAUAUUGGUCAAUGGACGAGAGUCUGAACCAGCCAAGUAGCGUGAAGGAUGACUGCCCUAUGGGUUGUAAACUUCUUUUAUAUGGGAAUAAAAUGUUCCACGUGUGCCUUUUUGUAUGUACUUUAUGAAUAAGGAUCGGCUAACUCCGUGCCAGCAGCCGCGGUAAUACGGAGGAUCCGAGCUUUAUCCGGAUUUAUUGGGUUUAAAGGGAGCGUAGAUGGGUUGUUAAGUCAGUUGUGAAAGUUUGCGGCUCAACCGUAAAAUUGCAAUUGAUACUGGCAGUCUUGAGUACAGUUGAGGUAGGCGGAAUUCGUGGUGUAGCGGUGAAAUGCUUAGAUAUCACGAAGAACUCCGAUUGCGAAGGCAGCUUACUAAACUGCCACUGACAUUGAUGCUCGAAAGUGUUGGUAUCAAACAGGAUUAGAUACCCGAGUAGUC
This 460-nucleotide ribosomal RNA is filed under the name uncultured bacterium. RNAcentral describes it as "partial 16S ribosomal RNA". It matches the Rfam family "Bacterial small subunit ribosomal RNA", at positions 338 to 795 of the family's 1533-position model. The record is from RNAcentral.